This 253-nucleotide ribosomal RNA is filed under the name uncultured bacterium. RNAcentral's name for it is "partial 16S ribosomal RNA". It matches the Rfam family "Bacterial small subunit ribosomal RNA", at positions 524 to 776 of the family's 1533-position model. The record is from RNAcentral.
UACGUAGGGUGCAAGCGUUGUCCGGAAUUAUUGGGCGUAAAGAGCUCGUAGGCGGUCUGUCGCGUCUGCUGUGAAAACUCAGGGCUUAACCCUGAGCUUGCAGUGGGUACGGGCAGACUAGAGCGCGGUAGGGGAGACUGGAAUUCCUGGUGUAGCGGUGAAAUGCGCAGAUAUCAGGAGGAACACCGGUGGCGAAGGCGGGUCUCUGGGCCGUAACUGACGCUGAGGAGCGAAAGCCAGGGGAGCAAACGGG